CUCAAGGUGAAAUAUUGAAAGUCGGUUUCGGCUGUCGCUAUAGGAUGGGCCCGCGGCGCAUUAACUAGUUGGUGAGGUAACGGCUCACCAAGGCGACGAUGCGUAGCCUACCUGACAGGGUGAUCGGCCACACUGGGACUGAAACACGGCCCAGACUCCUACGGGAGGCAGCAGUAGGGAAUCUUCCACAAUGGGCGAAAGCCUGAUGGAGCAACGCCGCGUGAGUGAAGAAGGAUUUCGGUUCGUAAAACUCUGUUGUAAGGGAAGAACAAGUACAGUAGUAACUGGCUGUACCUUGACGGUACCUUAUUAAAAAGCCACGGCUAACUACGUGCCAGCAGCCGCGGUAAUACGUAGGUGGCAAGCGUUGUCCGGAAUUAUUGGGCGUAAAGCGCGCGCAGGUGGUUUCUUAAGUCUGAUGUGAAAGCCCACGGCUCAACCGUGGAGGGUCAUUGGAAACUGGGAGACUUGAGUGCAGAAGAGGAUAGUGGAAUUCCAAGUGUAGCGGUGAUAUGCUUAGAGAUUUGGAGGAACACCAGUGGCGAAAGCGACUAUCUGGUCUGUAACUGACACUGAGGCGCGAAAGCGUGGGGGGCAAACCAGGAUUAGAUACCCUGGUAGUCCACGCCSUAAACGAUGAGUGUUAAGUGUUAGGGGGUUUCCGUCCCUUAGUGCUGCAGCUAACGCAUUAAGCACUCCGCCUGGGGAGUACGGUCGCAAGACUGAAACUCAAAGGAAUUGACGGGGGCCCGCACAAGCGGUGGAGCAUGUGGUUUAAU
Molecule: ribosomal RNA, 779 nt
Filed under: Lysinibacillus fusiformis
Lineage: Bacteria; Bacillati; Bacillota; Bacilli; Caryophanales; Bacillaceae
Description: bacterial SSU rRNA
Rfam family: Bacterial small subunit ribosomal RNA
Source: RNAcentral